GGUGGUUCUCAGGUGAUGCACCCCGGAAUCAGGCUUCCUCCUCUCUGGAUCUGGGUGCGUCACCCAAGAACCACA
Molecule: non-coding RNA, 75 nt
Organism: Myotis davidii
Lineage: Eukaryota; Metazoa; Chordata; Mammalia; Chiroptera; Vespertilionidae
Source: Rfam